ACUCUCUUUUCCUCAGAAACCCAAACCCAAACCAAACCCAGUUACAGAGAGCUGAAGAAAAUGGGGAGGAAUACGACGAUGCUGAUGAGCAUGGCUGAUUAGAAAACUCAGGCACCCAAAGCAAAACAAACCGGAAUGUUCACCGGCAACAACGCUGAUGUCACCUUGGCACUACUUUUCUGAUCUGCCAUGCUCAUCAGCAUCGUCGUAUUCCUCCCCAUUUUCUUCAGCUCUCUGUAACUGGGUUUGGUUUGAGUUGGGUUUCUGAGGAAGAGAGAGUGGAGCAGAGAGGGAAAGUGUGUCAGGUCCCAUAAACGUGACUUAUUUAACAGAGUCAUGGAUGGAAUGUCUCCUACUCAAACGGUGGGGGACAAAUUGGUAAUAAAAUUUAAUUUAUAUCCUUAAUUUUUUUAAAAACAGAUUUAAAAGUAAAUCAAAAGUAUGAUACAAUUUUAGGGCACCAAGAUAUUCUGUUUCUCUUGGUGGAUGUUGAUCAGGGAGUUGCCCGCAAGAUGGAAAUUAAAGCCAUGCCUACUUUCCUCAUGAUGAAAGGAGGAGAUUCAACUGAUAAGCUUGUGGGUGCUAAUCCAGAUGCCAUCAAGAAAAUGCUCAAAUAAUAAUGAACUAUAGUGGGAAAAUGUAUGUGGAUGAUGCCCAUGAUUUUUCAUUAAUUAAGACCAUAAUUAAACAUCUUUGUGGUAAAUAAAACUAGUGCCAAUGUGCCUGUUUCAAUUCAGGACAUUGCCUAAUUGUAUUCCCAGCUCUGACGAACCAUCUAGCCAUAAUAUUAUAUGGUUUAGUACAAAAAUUAAAGGCCAAAUCACAUUUUUGGUUCU
RNA transcript from Prunus dulcis (almond), 836 nucleotides. It is a transcript of the gene named thioredoxin-like protein CXXS1, with no coding region annotated. The record is from RefSeq and is a predicted model, not a curated record. The transcript has 2 exons. Lineage: Eukaryota; Viridiplantae; Streptophyta; Magnoliopsida; Rosales; Rosaceae.